GGCAGAAUAGCUCAGUUGGUAAGAGCACUGGUGGCGCAAUCAUCUAGAGGUCCCUGGUUUGAUUCCAGGUGCAGCCA
This is a non-coding RNA of Mycena olivaceomarginata, 77 nucleotides long. The record is from the annotation of a GenBank genome assembly. NCBI's taxonomy places the organism in Eukaryota, Fungi, Basidiomycota, Agaricomycetes, Agaricales, Mycenaceae.